Molecule: ribosomal RNA, 468 nt
Filed under: uncultured bacterium
Lineage: Bacteria
Description: partial 16S ribosomal RNA
Rfam family: Bacterial small subunit ribosomal RNA
Source: RNAcentral
GACGAACGCUGGCGGCGUGCUUAACACAUGCAAGUCGAACGGAAAGGCCCUGCUUUUGUGGGGUGCUCGAGUGGCGAACGGGUGAGUAACACGUGAGUAACCUGCCCCUGACUUUGGGAUAACUUCAGGAAACUGGGGCUAAUACCGGAUAGGAGCUCCUGCUGCAUGGUGGGGGUUGGAAAGUUUCGGCGGUUGGGGAUGGACUCGCGGCGUAUCAGCUUGUUGGUGGGGUAGUGGCUUACCAAGGCUUUGACGGGUAGCCGGCCUGAGAGGGUGACCGGCCACAUUAGGACUGAGAUACGGCCCAGACUCCAACGGGAGGCAGCGGUGGGGAAGAUUGCACAAUGGGCGGAGGCCUGAUGCGGCAACGCCGCGUGCGGGAUGACGGCCUUCGGGUUGUAAACCGCUUUCGCCUGUGACGAAGCGUGAGUGACGGUAAUGGGUAAAGAAGCACCGGCUAACUACGUG